UGGGGGAUAUUGCACAAUGGGCGAAAGCCUGAUGCAGCGACGCCGCGUGGCGGAUGAAGGCCUUCGGGUUGUAAACUUCUUUUGCUCUGAACAAGGCAUGCCUUUGGGGUGUGUUGAGUGUAGGGGUUGAUUAGCGCCGGCUAACUACGUGCCAGCAGCCGCGGUAAUACGUAGGGCGCGAGCGUUGUCCGGAAUUAUUGGGCGUAAAGGGCUUGUAGGUGGCUGGUUGCGUCUGUCGUGAAAGCUCAUGGCUUAACUGUGGGUUUGCGGUGGGUACGGGCUGGCUUGAGUGCAGUAGGGGAGGCUGGAAUUCCUGGUGUAGCGGUGGAAUGCGCAGAUAUCAGGAGGAAUACCGGUGGCGAAGGCGGGUCUCUGGGCUGUUACUGACGCUGAGGAGCGAAAGCGUGGGGAGCGAACAGG
Molecule: ribosomal RNA, 420 nt
Filed under: Fusobacteriota bacterium
Lineage: Bacteria; Fusobacteriati; Fusobacteriota
Description: Fusobacteria bacterium partial 16S ribosomal RNA
Rfam family: Bacterial small subunit ribosomal RNA
Source: RNAcentral